Cynoglossus semilaevis (tongue sole) is the source of this 2095-nucleotide long non-coding RNA. RefSeq lists it as uncharacterized. The record is from RefSeq and is a predicted model, not a curated record. Lineage: Eukaryota; Metazoa; Chordata; Actinopteri; Pleuronectiformes; Cynoglossidae. The transcript has 3 exons.
AUUUUGAAAGAGUCGAAACGGGAAACAAUAAGGGAGUCCGAUCCUAAAUGUGUUUGUGGACGUGUUUGUGACGUAUGAGACCGACGGCGAUUUGAUUUUCUUAAGUAGCUGGCUGAGGAAGGCACCAGAACCUGGGGACAAAGCAAAGACACAAAGAGACAUGAGGCAACAUCCACCUCCAGUGUGUGGUUUCUAGAGUGUGUGUGUGUGUGUGGCAGGUCUCUGAGCUGUGAUUAAAAUGUACGUCAGGCAGCAGCUAAGACCUGAAGCAUUCAGAGCUGAUCCGGGGUCAGGUCAGCUGAUCGGGGGCCACUUUUAGACUAAAUCCCAAACACAAACACGGCAGAAGAAAAGCAGGGAGAGGACGAGGAGCCCGGCGGUCAAAAGACUGAUAGGAGUGGAUCAUGGGAAGACGAUGAUGAAGAGGCAGAUGAUUAAGAAGCUCUUUUUCACUUCUCUGGGAAAGAUCCCGAGGAUUGAGUCGGAGGCUGAGUAAAUCCUGACCCUUAACGCUGAUGCCAUGAACCGGCGGGAGGAGCAGAGCAACAAUGAGGAGUCUAUAAUCUGCUCCGAGCUGCUCCAUUCACUCUUCAUUAAGACACAAUGAGGACAAAUAACAAGUCCACUGUUGGUGGAGUGACGUCACCUUCAGAACAAUCCACUCCAUCAACUAAUCUGAGCUUUGAACUGCAGCUCUGAAGAGGCAGAGGCUGCAGCAGCAGCUGCACAGGUGGAGCCGGUUAGAAAGACAAAAACACAAACUGGACCAGACUCAGACUGGGGUGGAUCGGCUGAUACUGUCAAAUAUGUUGGUUUGGCCCACUGACGGUCAUCAAGGCUGGUGACAGUUGUUGGUUCCGUUAGCCUAUUAUGAGGAUUUGGUGGCUAAUUUAUGGUCUUUACAUUAGCCCAGGAGUUGGAACUAUUUCUGAUAUAUAAAACCAAGUAACUAUCAGCUAAUUUCAUCUUUUGGUUGUAAUUGUUUUAUUUUUUUAUAACCUGCAAGCUGUGGCUUUCUUUUAGGUAAACAGUAACUUUUUUGCUAUGUUUUAGGUAUCACUUUGAGGUAUCGUCUUUGAUAAAAGAGUGCUUUUGUUAAGUAUCUUUGUGCUAACAUUUAGCAAUUACUGCUAGAGUUGUAAGAUAACUUUAACCUAUCUGUUACUGGUUACUUUAAAACAAAACUUUAGCCAAAUUGUCGAUAAACUGUCGACCUUCCUUGGCCCAUUGUUCUGGAUCAUCUUUAGCUGCAGAUGCUAUUAUGGCUUAUUGUAUCAGUAUUUGUCAUUUUACCAAAAAAAAAAAAGUAAUUUUAUUGUUUGGGGCUAAAUUGUAGCUUUUUGGUUGACUUUGUUGAUUUUUGUGACUCAUGGAAAACAACAGUAUUAGUGCUGUCGGUGACAGAAACCCUCCUGAACAUUUAACUCUCUUGUCCAGAUGAAGUUUAAACUGUAGGUUUUAAACCAGAGAAUUUUCAGCAGAUAAAUCUGUUAUUUUUUCUUAUUUUUUGUUGUUUUGUUUUAUUUUCCCGACUAUAAACCCUUCUCUCGCUGCGUCUCCUACAAUUAAACCUCCUUUCUUUAUUUCUCUGCAUAAAAAUUUCCCUGUGGAUAUAUGACCCCCGUGUUUUCCCAACAUCCCACUCCCUCCCUCCCUCCCUCCUUCCUGUGUCAGCUGAAGUGAUUGCCUCUCUCUUCCACCCCCCAGUGGUAUUUAGCUAUUCUCAUUUGCAUGUACAUGCCCUCGCUGUGCGGCCUGUGGGCCCCGGAGAUCGAUCAACGGUGCCGCGCCGAGGUUUAUGACGUGUACGUUUUGCUCAGAGAGGCCGAGCGGCGAACAACACAGAGCAUGUUGUCUUUUCAGUGGGUGAACAGGGCAGGACCUGGUGGUUAGAACGGAAAAACUGUUCAAAUAUUAUGAGUCUGAGCAACGUUGAAGCACAAAUGAAGCAUUUUGUUGCAUAAACCGGAGAGGGAACAGAUGGACCUGUUGGUAACGAGGCUCAACAAUAUUACAUAAAUGAAUGAUUCACGUUUUUAGAACAGAUUUAAAAAAAAAUAACAUUAGAUUAAAUUUAAAUUGGUAAUUUUAGCUC